GCUUGUAUGUGGAGGUGCUAAAACAUGCCCAGUUCACUAAAGACCUCUUCUCGGUUAGGCACCAAUGCAUUGUCCAAGUCCAUACCCAACAACAAUGACCCCAACAACCUAGAAGAAGAUUGCCAUACCCAGUAAGUAGCCACCUCGAUAAACGUACUAGAGUUGCCCUUCCCCUUCUUUGCCUCCACCUACGAGUCAGCCUACCCGAUCUACCCAACCUUGUCAGCAUUAUGGUCGCUUGCA
This 243-nucleotide long non-coding RNA is filed under the name Carica papaya (papaya). RNAcentral describes it as "long non-coding RNA (CPAP_LNC008131)". Lineage: Eukaryota; Viridiplantae; Streptophyta; Magnoliopsida; Brassicales; Caricaceae. The record is from RNAcentral.